CCUACGGGGGGCAGCAGUGAGGAAUCGUACACAAUGGACGAAAGUCUGAUGUCGUGACGCCGCGUGGAGGAAGAAGGCUUUCGGGUUGUAAACUCCUUUUAUGUGGGAAGAUUAUGACGGUACCACUUGAAUAAGCAUCGGCUAACUACGUGCCAGAAGCCUCGGUAAUACGUAGGAUGCGAGCGUUAUCCGGAAUUAUUGGGCGUAAAGAGCGCGUAGGCGGUUUUGCAAGUCUAACCUUAAAGACAACGGCCCAACCGUUGUAUCGGUUAGAUACUACAUGACUUGAAUACUUGCAGGGGCAAGCGGAAUCUGCGGUGUAGGGGUAAAAUCCAUUGAUAUCGCAGAGAACACCAAUGGCGAAGGCAGCUUGCUAGGCAGUUAUUGACGCUGAGGCGCGAAAGCGUGGGGAGCGAACGGGCUUAGAUACCCGGGUAGUC
This 440-nucleotide ribosomal RNA is filed under the name uncultured bacterium. RNAcentral describes it as "bacterial SSU rRNA". It matches the Rfam family "Bacterial small subunit ribosomal RNA", at positions 338 to 795 of the family's 1533-position model. The record is from RNAcentral.